UCUUUUAUUUAAAGGAGAAUGUACUUACAUUUUUCCAAGGGGAAAAAAUAACCAAAAGGAUGUUGAAGAUAUUGAAAAGUAUUGUCAAGAAUUUUUAUGUUUUACUGGAAGCCAGCUAUAAUGAAACAAGUUUUUUUUUCUUGAACUCAUAUCUGAAUCUGCUCAACUCACACAUAUUAGCCUAUGAAAACUGAUCCUUUUUGUUUUGUAAAGGAAUUUGCCGUCACUGGUUGGGUUGUUAUGAGUAGCUUUUUGCCCGUAACGAGAGCUUUAUCAAACAAUCCUUACCAAGACGUGCAAUGCUAACCACAGGCAUCAUCUGUUCACAGGCUGGAAGACUUACACUUUUUGUUUUUAAAGAGAUGAAGACAACAAUCAGGGAUAUAAGCCAGUGUGUGUGACCCCUGGAGCACUUGAGAAGUUCUUGGCAAAUUUAUUUUUGGAAUAGAGAAAGAGAAAUUACUGUCCAGAAAUAGAUUAUUUUAAGCCUUUUUUUAAUUGAAUAAAAGGGGUUUAAACAGAGCCAAGAAUUUUCUAUUAGGAUUGGAGGGGUCUCCCCCAUCUCUUUGAGAGCCAACACUGGAAGACGUUCUCUUAUCUUGGGAGUUGACAUUGUCUAUGUUUUUAUUUUUUUUGGCAUCUAUUAAUGCCCAGAGUCAUUCAUCAGAUUCUAGGGCUUGGUUACUCAUUGGCUUCUCACAGUCUUUGUUGAACUAUUAGCAGAGAAGUCAGUAGAUAUCCAGCAUCUCUCCUACACUGAGCCCAGCUGUCUUUAGCAUUGGCUUGUUGAGUCAGUAAGAUGAAGAUAUUCUUUGCCAUCUUGUUGGCCAGUCAGGUUGGACUGCUAAGUGGGUGCCAACUGCCCCAUGACUGGAGACCACAAACCGAAUCCUGCAGAGCUGAGCUGGUGGAAACCGUUGUGUUUGCCAAAGUUCUGGCCCUCCACAAAGACAGCUACAGCGUAUACAACUACCUACCUUGGCAAUACAAUUCUGAUCUCUUCUUCUCAGCAGAGAUUGAGCUGCUGUGUGACCAGGCCUGGGGGAGUAUGCUGGAGGUACCUGCUGGAUCCAGGCUCAAUGUGACAGGAAUGGGCUACUUUCCUUGUCACUCCUACACCGUCAUGGAAAACAACUCUUAUUACUUCUUUUUAAGAAUGGAUGAAAACUAUAACAUUCUACCUCAUGGGGUGAAUUUUCAGGAUCCUAUAUUUCCAGACACACCAGAAAACCACAGAAUGUUUGCAAGUCUUUUCCAGUUCUCGAAUUGCUCAGCUGGGGUAGAUCCUCAGAUAUUUAACCCAGACUGGGAAGCUCAGGAAGAUCACAGGCUGCUGUGCAGUGCAGUGCAGAGGGCUUUGCUGGAGGAAGAGGAAAGAGUUAAAAAUUUAUCCCAGAAGGUCCGGUUCCUUGAAAAAGCCAACGGGCACCUCCGUGAAAAAGUGAAGAACCUCAAACGUGCUCUUCGCCAAACCAGUAUGGAGAACAAGAAAGAUGCACUCCUGGCCAAACGUCUUCUGGAAAAAGAGAAAAGUCUUGAUGAGGAAGGCCAACAGCUUGAAAACCACAAGAAGAUCUAUGCCAGACCAGCUAAGAAACCCACAGGGAACAGGAUGGACUAAACUUGAUUUCCCAGAACCUCAGAGCCACACUGGCUCCAAAAACAUUUCACUUAUUACCAAUGAGGGGACAUUUGAGACCUUCAAAGUCAUCAUUGAGAUGGGUCUGUAGACCUGUAAGCAGAAGAUAUCUCCUGAGCUUUGGUCAAAUAGUGUCUGAAAUUGGAAAAAGAAAAUAUCUCAGGUUGACCUCUUCAUACAAUCAUCAGUUCCUACUUUUACUUCCAAAGAGACAUGAUAGUAGCAGCAAAUGGUUAUUUUGAGUAGUUUAACUGAUUAUUAUUGUAUACUAAAUGGAAAUCAUAUACACAAAAACCCUUCUUAUACUUACAUGAUAAUAUGAUGACUUUGGCCCAUCAACAGUCCAUAGGUGCUUGAAGUAAGGCUGGACUGGUUUUGUCGUUUGACUCACACCUCUCAGCUCCUGGUAAUUGGUCAUGACUUUCCAUAAAACAUCCAGUACUAUAUACAUGUUACAAAGUGCACGCUCACUUAGUCACUGCAUAAACCAAAGUCAUUAGUCACAAACACAAAAAGGAGAGCCGCACUAUACUUCCAAUAUUGAUUUAUUCACAAAUAGAAAAGUGAUGUUUCAGGACACAGCCCUUAAUCAUGAUUGGUUAUCCCAUGCCAACAUCACUUCUGUGACUGCUUCAUUUCUCUAGCAGAGGUCUUUAGUCUGCCAUAUAUGUUUGUGUCUAGAUAGAAAAGAUACCAAAACUCUUGCAACAAGCGGUAUACGUUUGGAGAGUUCCUGUGUAUUUUCAAAAUGAUCUAAUGUUAGAUAAAGGGAUAUGAAACCCAAAAAUGUUCUUUCAUGAUUCAGAUAGAGAAUACAAUUUUAAACAGCAUUCCAAUUUACUUAAUUCUUUAGGUAUCCUUGAAGAAAUCACAAUGCACAUGGAUGAGCCAAUCACACGAGGCAUCUAUGUACAGCAACCAAUCACCAGCUACUGAGCCUAUUAAGAUAUGCUUAUUUUUUUCCCUGCAUAUUUUUGUGUGAAUGGUUCAAUUAUUCGCUUUGUCAGAUUUUUUAAAUAUAUUUUUUUGUGCACUUUUGUAAUGUUUGCAUCUUCUCCCCAUACAAAAAUGCAGUAUACGCCCCUUAGCAAGACACACUGUUGUCAGGGUAAAAAGUGGCUUUAGAUCAUUCCACCAGGGAAAUAAAAGUACUGCCGACCAUUCUUAUAUAAUCUCGCCAGCCCAGAGGGCUUUAGAUCAUCGGGCCCUAAGUGCUUUAGUAAACAAAAAUAUAGAAUAUCAGAUAUACCCUUAUGAUUAUAACCGAUAAAAAGACAACUUUGUGACACAGUUUUAUUUUGUUUUUAAAGUGAUAAUAUCGUUUAUACCAGAGCGUGACAAACCCAGCAGCCAGGGAGCCACUGGCUCCUAGAAUUAUACCCCUAUCUUAUAACUUUUUGAAUUAUUUUCCAUGUAUCGAUAUACAAAUACCACUGUCUGGCUCCCAAAUAUAUAUUUUUUAUGUAUUAGUUUCAUGACUCUAGGCCAUUGUCUUUUUUAUUGUAAGAACACAGAGUUGUUCAUUUAAAGGGACACUGAACCCAAACAUUUUCUUUCGUGAUUCAGAUAGAGCAUGCAAUUUUAAGCAACUUUCUAAUUUACUCCUAUUAUCAAUUUUUCUUCGUUCUCUUGCUAUCUUUAUUUGAAAAAUUAGGAAUCUAUGCUAAGAAGCCAGCCAAUUUUGGUUAAACAUUGGACAGCACUUGUUUAUUGGUGGGUAAAUCAGCAAGAACAACCCAGGUUGUUCACCAAAAUUGGGCCAGCAUCUAAACUUACAUUCUUGCUUUUCAAAUAAAGAUACCAAGAGAAUGACAAAAAUUUGAUAAUAGGAGUAAAUUAGAAAG
RNA transcript from Bombina bombina (fire-bellied toad), 3483 nucleotides. It is a transcript of the gene named coiled-coil domain-containing protein 3-like, with no coding region annotated. NCBI's taxonomy places the organism in Eukaryota, Metazoa, Chordata, Amphibia, Anura, Bombinatoridae. The record is from RefSeq and is a predicted model, not a curated record. The transcript has 4 exons.